Molecule: transfer RNA, 75 nt
Filed under: Corchorus capsularis
Lineage: Eukaryota; Viridiplantae; Streptophyta; Magnoliopsida; Malvales; Malvaceae
Rfam family: tRNA
About the family: Transfer RNA (tRNA) molecules are approximately 80 nucleotides in length.
Source: Rfam by way of RNAcentral
UGGGGCGUGGCCAAGUGGGUAAGGGCAACGGGUUUUGGGUCCCGCUAUUCGGAGGUUCGAAUCCUUCCGUCCCAG